CUUGUGAUCUUUCGAGGGUUGUA
Molecule: microRNA, 23 nt
Filed under: Capitella teleta
Lineage: Eukaryota; Metazoa; Annelida; Polychaeta; Capitellidae
Description: cte-miR-2685-5p
Source: miRBase by way of RNAcentral